This 543-nucleotide small RNA is filed under the name Pongo abelii (Sumatran orangutan). RNAcentral describes it as "processed transcript". The record is from RNAcentral. Lineage: Eukaryota; Metazoa; Chordata; Mammalia; Primates; Hominidae.
AAGGUGGGAAUGGCCCCUGCGGGCCUAGGGCAGCCUCACGUGAGCUCACCCCCGCGCAGCACUUAGAAGAGUGGCCUGGGCCUCAGAAUUCGGUUCUACCAUGAUUUAACAAUAGUAAUAUACAGAGAAACAUGGUGGAUGGAAUGGAUCCACACAAAUUCUCCUACAACUUUAAAAAUAGACCCAUCCUUUCUCGUCGGAAUACUGUGUGGCUGUGCUACGAAGUGAAAACAAAGGGUCCCUCAAGGCCCCCUUUGGACGCAAAGAUCUUUCGAGGCCAGGUGUAUUUCGAGCUUAAGAACCACCCAGAGAUGAGAUUCUUCCACUGGUUCAGCAAGUGGAGGACGCUGCAUCGUGACCAGGAGUGCGAGGUCACCUGGUACAUGUCCUGGAGCCCCUGCACAAAGUGUACAAGGAAUGUGGCCACGUUCCUGGCCGAGGACCCGAAGGUUACCCUGACCAUCUUUGUUGCCCGCCUCUACUACUUCUGGGACCCAGAUUACCAGGAGGCGCUUCGCAGCCUGUGUCGGGAAAGAGACGGUC